RNAcentral lists this ribosomal RNA (492 nucleotides) under uncultured bacterium. RNAcentral's name for it is "partial 16S ribosomal RNA". It matches the Rfam family "Bacterial small subunit ribosomal RNA", at positions 29 to 507 of the family's 1533-position model. The record is from RNAcentral.
AGUGAACGCUGGCGGUAGGCCUAACACAUGCAAGUCGAACGGCAGCACAGUAAGAGCUUGCUCUUACGGUUGGCGAGUGGCGGACGGGUGAGGAAUACAUCGGAAUCUACUUUUUCGUGGGUGAUAACGUAGGGAAACUUACGCUAAUACCGCAUACGACCUACGGGUGAAAGCAGGGGAUCUUCGGACCUUUUGCGAUUGAAUUAGCCGAUGUCGGAUUAGCUAGUUGGCGGGGUAAAGGCCCACCAAGGCGACGAUCCGUAGCUGGUCUGAGAGGAUGAUCGGCCACACUGGAACUGAGACACGGUCCAGACUCCUACGGGAGGCAGCAGUGGGGAAUAUUGGACAAUGGGCGCAAGCCUGAUCCAGCAAUACCGCGUGAGUGAAGAAGGCCUUCGGGUUGUAAAGCCCUUUUGUUGGGAAAGAAAAGCAGCAGGUUAAUCCCCCGAUGUUCUGACGGUACCCAAAGAAUAAGCACCGGCUAACUUCGUG